This is a long non-coding RNA of Rhineura floridana, 1621 nucleotides long. RefSeq lists it as uncharacterized. NCBI's taxonomy places the organism in Eukaryota, Metazoa, Chordata, Lepidosauria, Squamata, Rhineuridae. The transcript has 4 exons. The record is from RefSeq and is a predicted model, not a curated record.
GUAAAUUUUAAGAGUAGUUUUCAGAAGAGAAAACGAGGGUGGGGGAAUGGCCAAGGCUGCUUCAUAUUUUCAUGUUGAAGCAAAGGAUUAAAGACCUUUGAAAAACAGAAAGGGAGACUUAACAUGCAAGUAUCUUCAUAUAUCUUUGAAGGAAUUUGUUACUGUGAGGCCUUUCAGGAUACACCUUUAUAGAACUUUCAGUGCCUUCUUUUUGUUUUAGCCUGGGUGUGAGGUAAAAGAACAUCAUAGCAACCUUGGAAUAAUUGAUUGGUUUAGGGGAGGCAAGGCAGAUUGAGUGGUAAACACUGCUGUGUCCUCCAAGCCCUUGCCAACAUGCCCUGCUGCCCAUCAUCUGGCCCUCUGAGGCAGCUGCCUCACUCUGCCUAACGUUAUCUUUGGCAAAACAGACUUUGCAGAUGGUCAUUAUAGCCUUGGAGUAUGAACACUAGGCACUGUCACAAAUGGAGAUAACAUGAAACUGCUAUCCUGAGCACAGUACCCUGAACAAUCCAUGUUUUUGAAGAGCAACCAACCAUCAAUAUUAAUCAAGUAUACACUGAGUCCACACAACCAAGUUGAGUCCUGUGAUUUGCCAAGCUGCCCACUGAAGGAGAGAGAACUAACUGUACUCCCUUAGGGUUGCCAUCUGUGAGAUCAACUUUCUACAUGCUGCUUUACCUGUUGAAAUUCACAGACCCAAUUUCACCUCUUUAAUAUGCCUUUACUUGUUAAACUUGAAGUUGGAAAACCAGACCUUUAGAGGCCAGAGAGCACACGGCCUUUUAUUUAUUUUGCUUAUUUAUUUUAUAUUAUUUUGGUUUUUUGUGUGUUUUCUUCUCUUGGUGUAUUGUUUUCUUUCUGCGUAUCAUUUUGUUGUCAGUGUGUGAAAAAUAUGAAAAACCUUUAAAAUAAAGAGUGUAUAUAUAACACGACACCUUCAUAUUCAAAUACUUGAAAUGUAAUGUGAUGUUUUUACCUUAAAGUUGAGUUGGCUUGUCCUCAGCUUCCUGCUUUUUAAAUUUAUAUUUGAGCUGGCCUCUUGCUGUCUUUAGCAGACCUGGGUUCUUUUUUAAGAAGUCUAGAAACUCUGCACAGCUCAUGUUAAUGGUCAGUUUUAUCCACAGCUUUGCCUUCACAACAGCUAUCACUCAGCCUGUUUCUGUCCUUGGCCAAAGAUGUUAUACUAAACUGAAAACUGUCUCACAGUGGGUAUUAGACAUAGGAAUGGAAAGUGAGAGAGAGACCAGUUUCUUCAAUUGGCUACCACUACCCUCUGACAUUUGUCUGAAAACCUAUACCGAUCUAUGUUCUGCUCCUUGGAGGCAACUCUUCCCUGAUUUGUUGUGAAAAACAUUAGUCAUCAUACAGCUUGUCAAUCUCAAUCUCAGUGUGGAGUGCUAUAGCAAGAGUCUGUAAAUCUGCCCAUUUCUCAUUAAUGUGAAGUGAGAGCACUGACAUUUUUAAAAAAAAGUUAUGUUUCAACAUUGUGCCACUUAUCCUGGUUUUAAAUUCAAUGUCUUAUAGACUUUCCCUCUGAAUUUUCUGGUGUCAGCUGGAGACAUAUUGUCCAGAACACCAGUGGGGGCUGGUGCCCUCUAAAACUGGUGGGGUUGCUAUGAGG